Molecule: non-coding RNA, 125 nt
Organism: Triticum aestivum (bread wheat)
Lineage: Eukaryota; Viridiplantae; Streptophyta; Magnoliopsida; Poales; Poaceae
Source: Rfam
AAUGUACUCCUUCCGUUCCGAAAUAUUUGUCGGAGAGAUGGAUAAAAUUGGAUGUAUCUAUAACUUAAAUACGUCUAGAUAUAUCCAUUUUUUUGACAAGUAUUUUCAGACGGAGGGAGUAUUUA